UACCAACGCUGAAUAUGAACCCAAAUUUGACAAAUUAAAAAUCUCAGGAGUAGAAGAGAAGCUUUUCUAGAAAUAAAGUUACAGAAAAAGCAUAUGCUUAUGGUACUUCUUCUAAUUGUUUUAAUUUUUAAAAUACAGACACAGAGUCUUGCUGUGUUGCCCAGGCUUGUCUUGUACUCCUGGCCUCAAGUGAUCCUCCCACUCCAGCCUCCCAAAAUGCUGGGAUUCCAGGCAUGAGCCACUGUGACCAGCCACCUAUGGUACUU
RNAcentral lists this long non-coding RNA (266 nucleotides) under Homo sapiens (human). Its description in RNAcentral is "HSALNT0136698". Lineage: Eukaryota; Metazoa; Chordata; Mammalia; Primates; Hominidae. The record is from RNAcentral.